RNAcentral lists this long non-coding RNA (331 nucleotides) under Brassica napus (rape). RNAcentral's name for it is "long non-coding RNA (BNAP_LNC019871)". The record is from RNAcentral. Lineage: Eukaryota; Viridiplantae; Streptophyta; Magnoliopsida; Brassicales; Brassicaceae.
CAUUUCUGCAUGAAGAGGAGAAUGGGACGUCCGAACAUUCCUUGCACCCAUCAAACCCGUAAAUCCUUCUAGAGUACUAUACCAUCCUUGUCCUGAGAAAAUAUCAUUCUCUUUCCAGGAACCAUCCGUGAAACACCAUCUUCCUGGAAUUGACGGAAGAAUCGUUGCCUCUACCUGUGGGAUCCUCUUAUUAUCAUUCAAUAUUUGUGUCUCAGCCCAGAGUUUUGAUUCCGUUUCAGCCAGUUUAAGGGUGUCCAACGGAUCCACAUCCAUAUUGCUAAAGACUUUAUUAUUUCUUCCCUUCCAUAUAUACCAUAGUAUCCAUGCAAAC